CUCCCCUUUGCUUCAUUUCUUCUCACUCUACACUCCCUCACACUCUCCUUCUCCACUCCCCACGAAAAUGCUGCUCCUCUUAGCUCCAUGGCCGGCCAUGGCCAUGGAAAGAACUCCAAGAUGAAGCUCCCUCCUCCCUCAAGCUUCCCCUCACCAUGAGAGCCUCCCUCUCCAUCUUCUCCCCAACCCUAGGUGGUUUAAUCUCCUCUUCUUCUUCCUCCAUUGCUAAGAUUAGAUCUUGAUGCAGGUGCAUGUUGGUCCAAGCAUGGAGAAGCUUGAGCUAUCCUCAGAUCUGAAGUUCUUGAGCAAAAUCCAAAUCGAGUGAUUCAAAGUUCCGCAGAUAGAUACGGAAAAGAUCUACAACUUGGCGUUGGUCUCAUCCUCAAAUUCGUUACGGAUUGUCCGCGGUGAAAGCCCUCUUCAAUACCUUCAUUUUGGCGGUGGUUUCACUUCGAUUGACCUCCUGAAACUGAAAUGGUUCACAGGUCAAGAUCUGGUCAGAUCUGACUUUGUCGAAUUAAACCAGGAGCUUGGGAACGAAUCUUUGAGUGAAACAAAUUGGGGGAUGUUUGGUUUAUACCAUGAUGAUAACCGAGAGAGGCAAUUGCUAAGUUGUGAUGCACUCAUACCUCUACUAGAUGCGAACAAUUCCGGAGAAGAAGAAGAAGUGGAAUCGGACAAGGAUUUUAUUUGUACUGUGGGAAUUCUUAUUUUGAUGGAGUUGAAGAAGUACAGGGACAAAUAAGCCAAG
This is a long non-coding RNA of Lolium perenne, 751 nucleotides long. RefSeq lists it as uncharacterized. The record is from RefSeq and is a predicted model, not a curated record. Lineage: Eukaryota; Viridiplantae; Streptophyta; Magnoliopsida; Poales; Poaceae.